RNAcentral lists this ribosomal RNA (406 nucleotides) under uncultured bacterium. RNAcentral describes it as "bacterial SSU rRNA". It matches the Rfam family "Bacterial small subunit ribosomal RNA", at positions 958 to 1363 of the family's 1533-position model. The record is from RNAcentral.
AACGCGAAGAACCUUACCAGGUCUUGACAUCCUUUGAAGCUUUUAGAGAUAGAAGUGUUCUCUUCGGAGACAAAGUGACAGGUGGUGCAUGGUCGUCGUCAGCUCGUGUCGUGAGAUGUUGGGUUAAGUCCCGCAACGAGCGCAACCCUUAUUGUUAGUUGCCAGCAUUCAGAUGGGCACUCUAGCGAGACUGCCGGUGACAAACCGGAGGAAGGCGGGGACGACGUCAGAUCAUCAUGCCCCUUAUGACCUGGGCUACACACGUGCUACAAUGGCGUAUACAACGAGUUGCCAACCCGCGAGGGUGAGCUAAUCUCUUAAAGUACGUCUCAGUUCGGAUUGUAGUCUGCAACUCGACUACAUGAAGUCGGAAUCGCUAGUAAUCGCGGAUCAGCACGCCGCGGUU